GAUGAACGCUAGCGGGAGGCCUAACACAUGCAAGCCGAGCGGUAGAGUCUCUUCGGCGUCUUGAGAGCGGCGCCCGGGUGCGGACCACGUGUGCAACCUGCCUUUAUCUGUGGGAUAGCCUUUCGAACGGAAGAUUAAUACCCCAUAAUAUACUUGAUGGCAUCAUCUGGUAUUGAAAACUCUGCUGGCUAUAGGUGGGGACGCGAAAGGUUAGAUAGUUGGUUAGGUAACGGCUCACCAACUCAGCGAUCUUAAGGGGCUUUGAUAGGGUGAUCCCCCACAAUGGUACUGAGACACGGACCAGACUCGUACGGGAGGCAGCAGUGAGGAAUAUUGGACACUGGGUGAGAGCCUGAUCCAGCCAUCCCGCGUGAAGGACGACGGCCCUAGGGAUUGUAAUCUUCUUUUGUAUAAGGAUAACCCUAGAUACGUGUAUCUAGCUGAAGGUACUAUACGAAUAAGCACCGGCUAACUUCGUG
Molecule: ribosomal RNA, 479 nt
Filed under: uncultured bacterium
Lineage: Bacteria
Description: partial 16S ribosomal RNA
Rfam family: Bacterial small subunit ribosomal RNA
Source: RNAcentral